RNAcentral lists this unclassified non-coding RNA (152 nucleotides) under uncultured Cordana. RNAcentral's name for it is "sequence contains ITS2". The record is from RNAcentral. Lineage: Eukaryota; Fungi; Ascomycota.
CAACCCUCAAGCACUGCUUGGUGUUGGGGCCCUACAGCUUCUGUAGGCCCUGAAAACUAGUGGCGGGCUCGCUAUAACUCCGAGCGUAGUAGUAACAUCUCGCUUAGGACGUGAUGGCGGGAUCCGGCCGUUAAACCCCCCAAUUUUCUGAA